GNNACGCUGGCGGCGUGCCUAAUCAUGCAAGUCGAACGCUUCUUUUUCACCGGGUGCUUGCACCCACCGAGAAAGAGGAGUGGCGGACGGGUGAGUAACACGUGGGCAACCUGCCCAUCAGAGGGGGAUAACACUUGGAAACAGGUGCUAAUACCGCAUAAUUCUUUUUGUCGCCUGACAGAAAGAUAAAAGACGCUUUCGGGUGUCACUGAUGGAUGGGCCCGCGCUGCAUUAGCUAGUUGGUGGGGUAACGGCUCACCAAGGCCAUGAUGCAUAGCCGACCUGAGAGGGUGAUCGGCCACACUGGGACUGAGACACGGCCCAGACUCCUACGGGAGGCAGCAGUAGGGAAUCUUCGGCAAUGGACGAAAGUCUGACCGAGCAACGCCGCGUGAGUGAAGAAGGUUUUCGGAUCGUAAAACUCUGUUGUUAGAGAAGAACAAGUGAGAGAGUAACUGUUCUCACCUUGACGGUAUCUAACCAGAAAGCCACGGCUAACUACGUGCCAGCAGCCGCGGUAAUACGUAGGUGGCAAGCGUUGUCCGGAUUUAUUGGGCGUAAAGCGAGCGCAGGCGGUUCCUUAAGUCUGAUGUGAAAGCCCCCGGCUCAACCGGGGAAGGUCAUUGGAAACUGGGGAACUUGAGUGCANAAGANGAGAGUGGAAUUCCAUGUGUAGCGGUGAAAUGCGUAAAUAUAUGGAGGACACCAGUGGCGAAGGCGACUCUCUGGUCUGUANCUGACNCUGANGCUCGAAAGCGUGGGGAGCAAACAGGAUANAUACCCUGGUANUCCCNCCGUAAACNAUGANUGCUAAUGUUGGAGGNUUCCCCCUUCAUGCUGCANUAANCNAUUAACCCUCCCCNGGGGAAUACGCCCCAGNUNAACUCAAGGANUGACG
Molecule: ribosomal RNA, 898 nt
Filed under: uncultured Vagococcus sp.
Lineage: Bacteria; Bacillati; Bacillota; Bacilli; Lactobacillales; Enterococcaceae
Description: partial 16S ribosomal RNA
Rfam family: Bacterial small subunit ribosomal RNA
Source: RNAcentral